Rana temporaria (common frog) is the source of this 1427-nucleotide long non-coding RNA. RefSeq lists it as uncharacterized. The transcript is spliced from 3 exons. Lineage: Eukaryota; Metazoa; Chordata; Amphibia; Anura; Ranidae. The record is from RefSeq and is a predicted model, not a curated record.
ACCCCUUAUUAUUAUUUAUAAUGUACUGUUGGGACAUCACAUAUAUUAUUUUUAUAUCAAGCUAUUUUGAACCAUAUUAACUAAUCCUUAAUUGAACGGUAUAUGGUCUCUUUGUAUUCAUGAAUUUAUUGCUCUUUUUAGCAUUUACAUAAAUUGUUUUGUAUACUUUUUCUGUGAUGAUUGUAGCCACGUCUGCCUGGAGUCUCCGGGGAUAGAUGUACACCUCUGGACCCAUGUUUUGACGUGUACGGUCGGAACAGCCAAUCUGAGCGGACCUCGCUCGAUAUGGCUAGUGAGGAGUGUUAGGAGGGAGGUUCAUCUGUGUACGUUGCCAGCCAGUCAUUGUUUACAAUGAGCUGUGCUUGCUAUUCGGGACACGCCCCACCAAUACCUAUUGGUGGGUCUCCCCUCCUGCUUCCUCCCUCCUCGGUGACACCAAUCGUAUGCCCGCCCUUGCUACGGCGUCAUUUGACGCUUGCAGGGCCUUCAGCAUUCUGAUUGGCCCGCCGGGAUUUCGACCGGAUCACGUGAUGCGGAAGCCCCGACCGCACACGUGAUCGGAGACGCAUAUAUAUAUGGGGAUGGGAUUCCCCACAAACCAGAAACAUUUUUCUAUAUCCUGCUGCAAUAUCGAUUCGGCGGUCCGGCUGGUAGGUUUAUAAUUGUCUGCCUACAACCAUAAUUAUUCCUAUUUAACUUUGGAUGCAUUCCAGUGCUGCUUUUUGGAUCUUAUAUAUCUAGCCUUUUUUCUCAUACAAAUUUUCUCUUUCUCUCUUGUUUUUUUGCUUUGUAUAGGUGUGUCCAUUGCUCAGUUUCCCAAAUGUUUUAUGGUUUUUGUCUGUUCAGAAUUUUUUUCUGACACUUAUGGGACAAAUGUCCCCCUCUUAUCUGACUUUACUUGCCUUUGUUGCUUGUAAUAUUCAGUCAUCUACACUAUAACCUACGCACCUACUUACUGAUCGUUUUUGGACAAUCCACCAGCCGUCUCUAACAUCAAAACCGCUUGAUAAAAGGAAAAUUACGCAACUUUAUUUAUUUUACACUUUAUCAUUUCUUAAUGAGUUCAAUCCUAAACCAUCUCCAUUACCGUGGAUGAACUAUCAAUAGCUCCUGAUGAAGCGGAUCUUCCCGCAAAACAUGUAGAGCUUGCCCUGAAUACUAAUAUAUAUGAUAGUCAUCACUCUGUUGAUGCCUUCUUUGGACCAGUUUUUGGUUUAUAAGUGUUUUGUAAUCAUUGUAAUUUAUGUGAUUUUUUAUUUUUUAUACUGUUUAUGUAUUUUUAUCCAAUGUAAUUAUUUAGUGUUGAUGCAACUACCCAUGCUGGGUUUGUUUCAAUAAAUAACAUUUUCACAACGAUUAGUGCCUAGAAAGUCCAUCUUAUUGUCCCUCCAACAACAACCUUUCUUGCUUUAGUCAAGGACGUGGCA